RNAcentral lists this ribosomal RNA (497 nucleotides) under uncultured bacterium. Its description in RNAcentral is "partial 16S ribosomal RNA". It matches the Rfam family "Bacterial small subunit ribosomal RNA", at positions 28 to 507 of the family's 1533-position model. The record is from RNAcentral.
GAUGAACGCUGGCGGCGUGCCUAAUACAUGCAAGUCGAGCGAACGGACGAGAAGCUUGCUUCUCUGAUGUUAGCGGCGGACGGGUGAGUAACACGUGGAUAACCUACCUAUAAGACUGGGAUAACUUCGGGAAACCGGAGCUAAUACCGGAUGAUAUUUUGAGCCGCAUGGUUCAAAAGUGAAAGACGGUCUUGCUGUCACUUAUAGAUGGAUCCGCGCUGCAUUAGCUAGUUGGUAAGGUAACGGCUCACCAAGGAAACGAUGCAUAGCCGGCCUGAGAGGGUGAUCGGCCACACUGGAACUGAGACACGGUCCAGACUCCUACGGGAGGCAGCAGUAGGGAAUCUUCCGCAAUGGGCGAAAGCCUGACGGAGCAACGCCGCGUGAGUGAUGAAGGUCUUCGGAUCGUAAAACUCUGUUAUUAGGGAAGAACAUAUGUGUAAGUAACUGUGCACAUCUUGACGGUACCUAAUCAGAAAGCCACGGCUAACUACGUG